UGCUUCGAUGACCUAUCUAAUGUCGAG
Molecule: small RNA, 27 nt
Filed under: Bombyx mori (domestic silkworm)
Lineage: Eukaryota; Metazoa; Arthropoda; Insecta; Lepidoptera; Bombycidae
Description: ovarian small RNA-34281
Source: RNAcentral